GUCUUUUUGUUAAAAAUUUAAAGUCGGGCCUGCCCACUGAAAUUUUAAAUGGCCGUGGUAUUUUGACCGUGCUAAGGUAGCAUAAUCAUUAGUUUUUUAAUUGAAAGCUGGAAUGAAGGGUUUGAUAAAAAAAUGACUGUCUCUAUUUAAUUUUAUUAGAAUUUUAUUUUUAAGUUCAAAAGCUUAAUUACUAUUAAAAGACGAGAAGACCCUAUAGAGUUUAAUAAUUAAAAGUGAUAUUUAUUUUAGAAUUAAAUUAUUUAUUAUUUAAUAUUAUUUAAUUGGGGUGAUUGAAAAAUUUAAUUAACUUUUUUUUAAUUUAACCAUAAAUUUAUGAUUUUUUGAUCCAAUUUUUUUGAUUAUAAGAUAAAAUUACCUUAGGGAUAACAGCGUAAUUUUUUUAGAAAGUUCAAAUUAAAAGAAAAGAUUGCGACCUCGAUGUUGGAUUAAAAUUAAAUUUUGGUGUAGAAGCUAAAACUUUGAGUCUGUUCGACUUUUAAAAUUUUACA
Molecule: ribosomal RNA, 509 nt
Filed under: Calligrapha californica
Lineage: Eukaryota; Metazoa; Arthropoda; Insecta; Coleoptera; Chrysomelidae
Also listed under: 1 other name
Description: partial 16S ribosomal RNA
Rfam family: Bacterial large subunit ribosomal RNA (bases 383-509)
Source: RNAcentral